CCUACGGGUGGCAGCAGUCGAGAAUCAUUCACAAUGGGGGAAACCCUGAUGGUGCGACGCCGCGUGGGGGAAUGAAGGUCUUCGGAUUGUAAACCACUGUCAUGUGGGAGCAAAUUAAAAAGAUAGUACCACAAGAGGAAGAGACGGCUAACUCUGUGCCAGCAGCCGCGGUAAUACAGAGGUCUCAAGCGUUGUUCGGAAUCACUGGGCGUAAGGCGUGCGUAGGCUGUUUCGUAAGUCGUGUGUGAAAGGCGCGGGCUCAACCCGCGGACGGCACAUGAUACUGCGAGACUAGAGUAAUGGAGGGGGAACCGGAAUUCUCGGUGUAGCAGUGAAAUGCGUAGAUAUCGAGAGGAACACUCGUGGCGAAGGCGGGUUCCUGGACAUUAACUGACGCUGAGGCACGAAGGCCAGGGGAGCGAAAGGGAUUAGAUACCCGAGUAGUC
This 446-nucleotide ribosomal RNA is filed under the name uncultured bacterium. RNAcentral's name for it is "partial 16S ribosomal RNA". It matches the Rfam family "Bacterial small subunit ribosomal RNA", at positions 338 to 795 of the family's 1533-position model. The record is from RNAcentral.